CAGCAGCCACGGAAAUACGUAGGUCCCGAGCGUUGUCCGGAUUCAUUGGGCGUAAAGCGAGCGCAGGCGGUUGUGUAAGACAGGUGUGAAAUCCCCGGGCUUAACCUGGGAACUGCGCUUGUGACUGCACAGCUAGAGUAUGGCAGAGGGGGGUGGAAUUCCACGUGUAGCAGUGAAAUGCGUAGAGAUGUGGAGGAACACCGAUGGCGAAGGCAGCCCCCUGGGCCAAUACUGACGCUCAUGCACGAAAGCGUGGGGAGCAAACAGGAUUAGAUACCCGCGUAGUCCCUGUCUCUUAUAC
Molecule: ribosomal RNA, 301 nt
Filed under: uncultured bacterium
Lineage: Bacteria
Description: partial 16S ribosomal RNA
Rfam family: Bacterial small subunit ribosomal RNA
Source: RNAcentral